RNAcentral lists this ribosomal RNA (407 nucleotides) under uncultured bacterium. Its description in RNAcentral is "partial 16S ribosomal RNA". It matches the Rfam family "Bacterial small subunit ribosomal RNA", at positions 30 to 526 of the family's 1533-position model. The record is from RNAcentral.
AUUGAACGCUGGCGGCAGGCCUAACACAUGCAAGUCGAGCGGAGCGGCGGACGGGUGCGUAAUGCCUAGGAAUCUGCCUGGUAGCGGGGGAUAACGUCAGGAAACGGGCGCUAAUACCGCUUCCUCUCAGAUGCGCCUAGGUCGGAUUAGCUAGAUGGUGGGGUAAAGGCCUACCAAGGCGACGAUCCCUAACCGGUCUGAGAGGAUGAACAGUCACACUGGAACUGAGACACGGUCCAGACUCCUACGGGAGGCAGCAGUGGGGAAUAUUGGACAAUGGGCGCAAGCCUGAUCCAGCCAUGCCGCGUGUAUGAAGAAGGUCUUCGGGUUGUAAAGCACUUUAAGUUGGGAGGCGUUACCAACAGAAUAAGCACCGGCUAACUUCGUGCCAGCAGCCGCGGUAAUUC